GCAUAUCAAUAAGCGGAGGAAAAGAAACCAACCGGGAUUGCCUUAGUAACGGCGAGUGAAGCGGCAAAAGCUCAAAUUUGAAAUCUGGCGUCUUCGACGUCCGAGUUGUAAUUUGAAGAAGGCGACUUUGUAGCUGGUCCUUGUCUAUGUUCCUUGGAACAGGACGUCAUAGAGGGUGAGAAUCCCGUGUGGCGAGGAUCCCAGUUAUUUGUAAAGUGCUUUCGACGAGUCGAGUUGUUUGGGAAUGCAGCUCUAAGUGGGUGGUAAAUUCCAUCUAAAGCUAAAUAUUGGCGAGAGACCGAUAGCGAACAAGUACAGUGAUGGAAAGAUGAAAAGAACUUUGAAAAGAGAGUGAAAAAGUACGUGAAAUUGUUGAAAGGGAAGGGCAUUUGAUCAGACAUGGCGUUUGCUUCGGCUUUCGCUGGGCCAGCAUCAGUUUUAGCGGUUGGAUAAAUCCUCGGGAAUGUGGCU
RNAcentral lists this ribosomal RNA (471 nucleotides) under uncultured yeast. RNAcentral's name for it is "eukaryotic LSU rRNA". It matches the Rfam family "Eukaryotic large subunit ribosomal RNA", at positions 38 to 515 of the family's 3401-position model. The record is from RNAcentral. Lineage: Eukaryota; Fungi.